CCAGAGACUCAGUGAAAUUGAACUCUCUGUGAAGAAGAAGUGUAACCGCGGCAAGACGGAAAGACCCCGUCAACCUUUACUAUAGCUUUACACUGAACAUUGAGCCUUGAUGUGUAGGAUAGGUGGGAGGCUUUGAAGCGUCGACGCCAGUCUGCGUGGAGCCAACCUUGAAAUACCACCCUGUAAUGUGUGCUGUUCUAACGUUGGCCCCUUACCGGGGGUGCGGACAGUGUCUGGG
Molecule: ribosomal RNA, 238 nt
Filed under: Klebsiella pneumoniae
Lineage: Bacteria; Pseudomonadati; Pseudomonadota; Gammaproteobacteria; Enterobacterales; Enterobacteriaceae
Description: partial 23S ribosomal RNA
Rfam family: Bacterial large subunit ribosomal RNA
Source: RNAcentral